This 1106-nucleotide long non-coding RNA is filed under the name Vulpes vulpes (red fox). RNAcentral's name for it is "lncRNA (ENSVVUG00000000898.1)". Lineage: Eukaryota; Metazoa; Chordata; Mammalia; Carnivora; Canidae. The record is from RNAcentral.
GGUCACAUUAUGAUUUGGAAACAAACAAUACUAAAAUCCCAGUGGCUUAAUACACAACAGUUUAUUUAUUUGUUCUCUCAAGGUCUGCUGAGGGUACAGGCAACUUUCCAGGGCAGCUGUCUUCCAUGUGGGAGCUCAGAACCUCAGGCUAAUUCAAUCAUGUGGCAUGUCCAUAACAAGUUCUUCUGGGAUUGCUGCGGCAGUGAAGAAAAUCUGCACGGUCCUAUAGUGUGUUCUCCAGCUACCCUAACUGUCCAAGCUGAGGUCCAGAAGAUCAAAGAUGAAACAUCAAGCAGAGCCCUUCUUGGGUACCUGAGCUUCAGAUUAUAAGCAAAGUGAAGUGGUUGUUUUAUGUCACUAUGUAGUUUUGGGGGUAGUUUGUCAAUGUAAGAUUCCUGUCACAUAUGCCAUUCAUUUGAUGUCAUACUCUAAAAUAUUGGAGAUAAACAAAUUCAGGGGAACAGAUGAGAUGCCUGAGGGUAAAGUUUAGAGAAUACAAAAGCCAAGUACUGAGGUUUAGAGAUACCAGUAUUAAUGGUCAAGGGUAAAAUAUCCCAGAUGUUGAGAGGGCAACAAAAUGGUCAGAGAAAUCAGAAUUAAACUUGGAGACACAUUGCCACUGAAGGGCAAGAUAUUAAAAGGAAUAGUUAGGAACAAUGUUUAUGCAUCAGAAAGAGCACAGUCCAAUGAAGACAAUUCAUUUUGUUGAAAUUAAAAUUGGUUUUGUAUAGCGAAGUUUUAUUAUAGUAAAUAGUGAAACUAAAUUGAAGCAAGAAUGAAAUUUGAUUUGGGUAUAUGUUUAACAGUAUAAUGGUAUGUUAGACUAGUAACAACUAUAUGUGAGCCCUCUUAAUAACAAAAGAAACAAAAAUCUAAGGUAUAUUUUAUUAAUAGAAAUUUAUUUUAUAAAUGAUAAAAUUUGUAAAUGAAACGAAUUUAUUUAUUAUAAAAUAUAUGUAUAACUUUACAUAUACAUAUAUAUGUUUUAUAUAUAUGUAUAAAUUUAUCUGAUAAAUUUAAAUUUAUAGAACUUAUAAAGAAAACAUACAAGAAGAAUAAGACUAUUUUAAAGAAAAUAAAAAUUUGAAACUUGGACGUAUGGUUCA